This 345-nucleotide ribosomal RNA is filed under the name Triticum aestivum (bread wheat). Its description in RNAcentral is "partial small subunit ribosomal RNA". The record is from RNAcentral. Lineage: Eukaryota; Viridiplantae; Streptophyta; Magnoliopsida; Poales; Poaceae.
AUGGCCAUGGCACCGAGAGCGUUGCUCCUCCUGGCCGUUGGGCUCAUGGUCGUGGCCUCGGCGAGCGCCCACGGCGGCUACGGGUCGUGCCCCAGGGACGGGCUGAAGGUGAAGGCGUGCGUGAACGUGCUGGGCCUGCUCAAGGUCAAUGUCAACCAGCCGCGCGACGAGCACUGCUGCUCGCUCCUCGACGGGCUCGUCGGUCUGGACGCGGCGCUCUGCCUCUGCACAAAUCUCCAUGCCAAUGUGCUCGGCCUCAACCUCAACCUCCCCGUCGACCUACGCCUCAUUCUCAACAACUGCGGCAAGGUCUGCCCCACCGAUUUCCAGUGCCCACACCACUAG